This 484-nucleotide ribosomal RNA is filed under the name uncultured bacterium. RNAcentral's name for it is "partial 16S ribosomal RNA". It matches the Rfam family "Bacterial small subunit ribosomal RNA", at positions 30 to 507 of the family's 1533-position model. The record is from RNAcentral.
AUUGAACGCUGGCGGCAGGCCUAACACAUGCAAGUCGAGCGGAAGCAGGGUAAUAGCUCCCGGUUACAGCGGGCGAGUGGCGGAUAGGGGCUAAGAACAUCGGAAUCUACGUUUGCUUAGGUGAGAAAACGGGGGCAAAUACGCUAUAAGCGCAGAGGGAGAAAGGGGGAGAGCUUCGGAUCUCAGGACAUUACAUGAGCGUAUGUCGGAUUAGCUAGUUGGUGGGUUAAAGGCCUACCAAGGCGACGAUCCGUAACUGGUCUGAGAGGAUGAUCAGUCACACUGGAACUGAGACACGGUCCAGACUCCUACGGGAGGCAGCAGUGGGGAAUAUUGGACAAUGGGCGAAAGCCUGAUCCAGCCAUGCCGCGUGUGUGAAGAAGGUCUUCGGAUUGUAAAGCCCUUUUAGUUGGGAAGAAGAGCAGUAGGUUAAUACCUUGCUGUUUCGACGUUACCAACAGAAUAAGCACCGGCUAACUUCGUG